UGCCUGCUCUUCCCUGAUUUACCCACAACCCUAACUUUGCAUAUUCAAAGGGGGAGAUCCUGGUAAGUACAUGCUUAGUGUGGUAGCAAACAUUAGAGAAUCUAGUGGUGAUGGAGACCCCGCCCAUCCCCUAAUAUUCCCUGUUCCCCAUCCCCUCCAAAUAACAAAAAUACUAAAAAUCGAGCUAACCUGGAAACCCCAUGCCGCAGCUGGCACUGGACUGCACGUUGCCCUGGGUGUAAGUCGACUCACACAGGCACUAACUUCUGCCACCCUUGAAGGCGCACUCCUGCAGCCAGUUCCUGGCAGGUUUUCCUGGUUUCCUGUAGGUCAGAGAUGGCAAAUACUUACACACUGCCCCUGCCUCCCCUCACAUCCCUGGCUGUGGAAGAUCUCGCUUAAGCCAGACCAGAAUUCAUUCUUGGCACUGCCCCUCCUCUUUCUAUCUCCUAUGCAGAUGUCACUCAUGGAUCAGAGCAUAUUUUUCCACAUGGCAGAAAUCUUGCCCUCUUGUGCCCAUGGCAGACAUGGCUAGUUGAUCUAGCAUUCUUUGCCUUGUGCCACUCCUCUAGCACACGCCCAUGGCAGACAUUGCUAAUCAAUCCUGGCAUUCUUUCCAAAUAAGCUUGCCAGCACUCCUGUUUUAUAGCAGAUGUGGCUAAGUGAUUAAGGUAUUAUUUUCUUCCCUAUAUGAUACCCUCUUCUCUAUGCAUGGCAGGCAUGACUAGUCAAUCAGGAGCCCCUUUCCUAGAUGCUGCCUCUUGUCCUCCAGAUAAAUUGAUGAGGCUCUUCUGUUCCACUUACCCUUUCUCCUAUCCUUUGCCUGUGACAGGCAACACUAAUUGAUCCUAGCACCGUUUCCUGCCACGCCCAGAAUUCUCACCACAGUGCUCCAGGUAUCUUGUACCAGUCGAUUGACAUGGCCCCCGAGAUGAAUCAUAUUUGCUGUCCAUCCCUGCUGUGGGUAACACCUCCUUCCUUUGUGCAGAGCCCUCAGCUGGGGCCCAGUGUGGGGCGUGAGAUGGGCGUGAGGCCCAGUCCAGCCCAGCCCAGUGGGAAGCAGCCUGCUACUCAUAUCUGAGAGCUGAGCCCAGCUCAAGGAGCUCACCUCUAGGCGGCUGGCCUCAGCCUGGCUCUUACACUUGGACAGCACAGCCUGGGCCUCCAGCCCUAGCAGGGGCUCCCUUUUGCUGGACAUUCUCCCACUGCCAGCCACCAAGGCACUGGUCAUCCCUGCCAUUGCCCUCUGGCAGGGAUCUUCUGGCAAUCCCAGGGUCUUUCUUGUAGCUGAGCCGAUCCUAUGCCAGGGCCUCGCUGCUCCCAGGGCCUGGGUGUGCAGAUAGGGCCAUGGGUGGGGGCAGUGACGGGAGGAAUUAGGUGGCCUCGGGCUUGUGGUUUUCAGGUUCCUCAUGUGUUCCCCCCAGUCCCCUUGAAUUUGCCAGGCCAAGGCCAGGAACCUACUUCUCCCUUGUACCCCAAGAGGUUUAGGGGUUCCUCUUUUCCUACCAGAGGCCACAUAGCCCAGCCCUGUCAUGAGCAUGGCUGUGGCCUCUGGGUCUCCCAUCUGUGGUUCUCAUCUCUACCCGGGAGACUCAGGCCAGGACCCUCACCCAGGAAAGAGGCUGGAGCAGCCUGCCAGGGGAUCCCUGCUUUGCCGCCCCCUGCCUGCCCUGCCACCCAUGCUGCCCCAUGUGCCUGCCUGCCUGUCACUGUGCACCCCAGCCCACAAAGGCCUGCCGCCUCUUCUGUCUCUCCCACCCCCACUUCCUUCUAAGCCCAGUCCCAUUGGGAUGUGUCCCUUGGAUGCAAACCUGACUUUCUGCUGAGGCCUGGCCCCUCCCUUUUCUCUGGCUCGCAAGUGGUGGAUGGCUAACAGGGCCUUUGUUUGCCACCCACAGCUUGCAGCUCCCUAGGGUGGGAUUUUAUCUCUGAACCCAUGUGGAGAAGGGCACCUCAGGGCUUCUGCCAGACCUCCUGCCCCAAGGCUUGGUGUGCCAUCCCCAGCAUGGCCCCGAUCAGUGCCCUGGCCCUGUGGCCAUGCACCCCAAAGUGUAGCGCGGGCCCUGUCCUCCAGCUCUGACCAACACUAACCCCAGCUGGAGGCAGGAGAGCCAGGCCACUGAGGGGUGAGCGGGCACAUCCCUCUCCCUGGAAACCGGGCCAGGCCUAGGAGUAUGGAGGCCUCCCAUUUCUCUGGGGGAGCACUGACAGCCUGUCUCCCUGUUUGCCCUCACCUGGUUGUUACUCGUCAUGGAAUCAUGGAACCAGGGUCUACUAAGCACUCGUUCUGUGCCCAGCCCUGGGCUGAGACAAGGCAGUGUCCCCACCCCGCUCCCCCCGGGUGAAUGGAGGCAUUCCCAGAAUGCCAGGCCUUUGGUGCUAACACCAAGACGUCCUGGGCAGACCAGGAAGAGCUCGUCACUGCAUUCCCAGAGGGGAUGCUGUGACCUCACAGGGGCUGCUGGCCUCAGCCCCCUCACCCACCACCAGGCAGCCCGUGAAUGGCCAGAUGCCAGGGGUCACUGCCUGCUCCAAACAACUGUGAGAGUCCUGUCUGUUCAUCCCAGGGAGGGAUAAGUCUGUACCCUUGGCCUUAACAAGCGGCGCCCAGUAGCAUCUCAUGCUGUCCCCAACCUGGGCAGUGACUUCUGCAUGGUCCAGGGGUCCCUGGGUACUCUUUAGCCACCUCCGCCUUCAUGGCCACCUGGGGCUUAGCACUCACAUCCAGCCACCAAGGAGCCACUGGAGCUGUGGGCUGGUGGCCCUGGUUCAGAAUGUCAGGCUCUGGGUGGGUCAGGGUAGUCCAGAUGAAGCCCUUCCAGAGGACCGCCCCCGACUAGGACAGGACAGCAUUUGGGCCCCAGAGGGAUUCCUGGAGGCCCCAUCUCUGGCGCUCCUGCCGUGCCGUGCCCUGCCAUGCCCUGCACUGGGGGAUGCAGGUCAGCCCUUUGCAGCUGUCCGUGGCCAUGCUCAGCCCACCCUUUGUAGCUUGGCCAAGUCUGUCAGUGCCUGGGUCCCAGGCCGCCCUGUGCGUGCCUCCGUGUGCUUCCUGCAGCUCCCAGGGCCCUCUUCCUGAGUGGGGUGGGGGGCUCUGGCCCACACAUGCCUCCAGCGGCCAGGGAGCGUGGGAGCACAGCCCCCAGGCUGCCUGCCGUUAGCUGUCAGCUGAGUCCCUGCACAGGCCUGGGUUCUGACCCCCACUCAGAUGACAGCUACAGCCACACAAUCCCCAUCCAUGGGGUCUCCCAGCCUAGAACCCUGAUGUGUCAGUCAAAAGGAUGACCACUAGGCUUGCAGCCAGCUUGGGACAUGAGCCACGCUCCUUCAGUGUCCUUGGGGAGGGCCCCUGGGCUCACACCUUUGACCCUAGCCCUCUGUGUGGAUGCUACCCUUGGAACCUUAUCUCACGCAAACAAGUGCAGUUCCUCAGAUGUCACAUUUCAUGUGCCACAGCCCCACACACAAGCCCCAGGGACUCCUCCCAUGGGCCCCUCUUUCCAUGAGGCCUCUGUGACUCUAUCCCCCAUCAACCCCUGGCCCAGUGAGUCUGUCUGUCCGCACACCUGCCUAAGUGGUACCCCAUGUUGGUUUCCCGCUGGAAAUACUUGGGAUAGGUUGGAACUGGGUUUCCUGGGCUUUGGGACUGCAGGUGUCUCUAUCGCGGUCCCUGGCUUCCCACUGAGCUGUGGGCAAGGCUGCUGCGCUGGGGGAUGGCUGGGGCGCGGAGCGAGGUUCCCCGCUAAGCUGCGCGCUUUCCCCCAGGUAAUCCGCAGGGGCUGGCUGACCAUCAACAACAUCAGCCUGAUGAAGGGCGGCUCCAAGGAGUACUGGUUUGUGCUGACUGCCGAGUCGCUGUCCUGGUACAAGGAUGAGGAGGAGAAAGAGAAGAAGUACAUGCUGCCUCUGGACAACCUCAAGAUCCGUGAUGUGGAGAAGGGCUUCAUGUCCAACAAGCACGUCUUCGCCAUCUUCAACACGGAGCAGAGAAACGUCUACAAGGACCUGCGGCAGAUCGAGCUGGCCUGUGACUCCCAGGAGGACGUGGACAGCUGGAAGGCCUCGUUCCUCCGAGCCGGCGUCUACCCCGAGAAGGACCAGGCAGAAAACGAGGAUGGGGCCCAGGAGAACACCUUCUCCAUGGACCCCCAACUGGAGCGGCAGGUGGAGACCAUUCGCAACCUGGUGGACUCAUAUGUGGCCAUCAUCAACAAGUCCAUCCGCGACCUCAUGCCAAAGACCAUCAUGCACCUCAUGAUCAACAAUACGAAGGCCUUCAUCCACCACGAGCUGCUGGCUUACCUAUACUCCUCGGCGGACCAGAGCAGCCUCAUGGAGGAGUCGGCCGACCAGGCACAGCGGCGGGAUGACAUGCUGCGCAUGUACCAUGCCCUCAAGGAGGCGCUCAACAUCAUCGGCGACAUCAGCACCAGCACUGUGUCCACGCCUGUACCCCCGCCUGUCGAUGACACCUGGCUCCAGAGCGCCAGCAGCCACAGCCCCACUCCACAGCGCCGACCGGUGUCCAGCAUACACCCCCCUGGCCGGCCCCCAGCGGUGAGGGGCCCUACUCCAGGGCCCCCCCUGAUUCCUGUGCCCGUGGGGGCAGCAGCCUCCUUCUCGGCGCCCCCAAUCCCAUCCCGGCCUGGACCCCAGAGCGUGUUUGCCAACAGUGACCUCUUCCCAGCCCCGCCUCAGAUCCCAUCUCGGCCAGUUCGGAUCCCCCCAGGGAUUCCCCCAGGAGUGCCCAGCAGAAGACCCCCUGCUGCGCCCAGCCGGCCCACCAUUAUACGCCCAGCCGAGCCAUCCCUGCUCGACUAGGCCUCGAGGGGGGCGUGCUCUCAGGGGGACUCACGCACCCGCGGCGCAGGAGCUUCAGUGGUCUGGGGCCCUCUGCCGCCCCUAUGCCGGGACCAGGCUCCCAGUGGGCAGCCCUGGCCUCUUCCUUAACGCUGGCCCCGGUCCAGGGCCGGCCCCUGUGCCUGGCUGGACACCGCACUGUGCAAAGGGGCCCUGGAGCUCCAGGCAGGGGGCGCUGGGGUGUUGCACUUUGGGGGAUGGAAUCUCAGGGUGGCAGAGGGGGGACCUGCACCCUUGACACCAUCCUGAAUGAGGGGUCCAGCCUGUGGGGGACUCUGCCAGGGUCUUCUCGGGCUGGGAAAGCCCAUGUAGGGCAGGUCUUCUAGAAGUGGGGGCACCAAGGGCGCCUACAUCCCCAGGCCUUGCUGGGGUGCAGGGGUAUAUCAACUUCCCAUUAGCAGGAGCUCCCCAGCAGCAAGCCUGGCCCAGUGGGCUCGGUAGUGCCGAGCUGCCAGGCCUGAGGUGUACAUAGUCCUUCCUGGCCAUAUUAACCACACAGCCUGAGACUGGCCCAGCCUCGGCUGCCAGAGGUGCCUUUGCUAGGCCCGGAACCGUUGGCCCGGGCCGGCCUUGCCCUAUUCCUGUCUUCCUCCUCCUCCUCCUGGGUCCCCCAGGGUGGCUGGGCUUGGGCUAUGUGGGUGGUGGUGGCGGGGGGCCUUGGGGGCCUCUCAGCUCCUGCCCAUGCCUCCCUGAUGGGGCAGGCCCCGGGCGGCCUCUCUCUGAGCAGAUCUCACCCACUCCUCGCUCGGUUUGACCACUGUAAGUGCCUGCACUCUGUAUCCUAUUAAUAAACUAAAAUAAAGGGAAGACGCUG
RNAcentral lists this small RNA (5671 nucleotides) under Pongo abelii (Sumatran orangutan). RNAcentral's name for it is "retained intron". The record is from RNAcentral. Lineage: Eukaryota; Metazoa; Chordata; Mammalia; Primates; Hominidae.